RNAcentral lists this ribosomal RNA (495 nucleotides) under Septoria stachydicola. Its description in RNAcentral is "eukaryotic LSU rRNA". The stretch from base 162 to 315 matches the Rfam family "5.8S ribosomal RNA". Lineage: Eukaryota; Fungi; Ascomycota; Dothideomycetes; Mycosphaerellales; Mycosphaerellaceae. The record is from RNAcentral.
GCGGAGGGAUCAUUACUGAGUGAGGGCCUUCGGGCUCGACCUCCAACCCUUUGUGAACACAACUUGUUGCUUCGGGGGCGACCCUGCCGUUUCGACGGCGCGCGCCCCCGGAGACCAUCAAACACUGCAUCUUUGCGUCAGAGUUUAAGUAAAUUAAACAAAACUUUCAACAACGGAUCUCUUGGUUCUGGCAUCGAUGAAGAACGCAGCGAAAUGCGAUAAGUAAUGUGAAUUGCAGAAUUCAGUGAAUCAUCGAAUCUUUGAACGCAUAUUGCGCCCUUUGGUAUUCCGAAGGGCAUGCCUGUUCGAGCGUCAUUUCACCACUCAAGCCUGGCUUGGUAUUGGGCGCCGCGGUCAAUCCGCGCGCCUCAAAGUCUCCGGCUGAGCUGUCCGUCUCUAAGCGUUGUGAUUUCAUUAAUCGCUUCGGAGUGCGGGCGGCCGCGGCCGUUAAAUCUUUCACAAGGUUGACCUCGGAUCAGGUAGGGAUACCCGCUG